AUGGCAGUAACGCACCAUCUUUCUUCACACAGGGUCAGCGGUGGAGGGCCUGAAACUAACCAACUGAACUUGUCCAGUCAUCGCAAGCAGAGUAUUUUUUUAAAGAAGGUGUGAUCAAGAAGAACACUGACACAGCUCUAUGGAUGCUAAAUUCAAGGCAAAUUCACUGAAAGACAUUCUUCUCACCAGAGAAUAUCCUGGGAGAUGGAAUAACUCGAAGGAAUGAGGACUACAGGAAAAUACUUGUCUCAAGACAAAAUGACAAAAAGCCAGAGCAUUCAGAGCUCAGAGAACAUGUCACAGAGCUUCAGAUCAGCUGGCCAUGGAGGUUUAACAAGGAAGCCAUUAGGGACACCCUGCUGGGCCUAAUUGUUUUUAGAACAUAUGGAACUUUGUGCCACCACACAGCUGUGAACUCCCUGGCUUUUGUCAGCUUGUGUCACAACCUCAAGAAGAAAAUAGUAGCUCACUAACGCCCCCACCUCUGACUUCCCACUAAUUUACUAUAUUUCUUCUUAUAACCUCCUGUACAACUGUAAAGCAACUGGACAAUAUAUAAACUCUGCCUCUCCUCUACUUUUAAUUCUAUAAAGAAUAUAGUAUGACUUGUCACAGAGAAACAGUAUAGAAGAAGCAUAAUACUGGGCAUAUGACAGAAGCUCAAUAAAUACUUAAUGUAUCUGG
This 684-nucleotide non-coding RNA is filed under the name Pan troglodytes (chimpanzee). Lineage: Eukaryota; Metazoa; Chordata; Mammalia; Primates; Hominidae. The record is from RNAcentral.